RNAcentral lists this transfer RNA (81 nucleotides) under Candidatus Woesebacteria bacterium GWC2_33_12. RNAcentral's name for it is "tRNA-Leu". It matches the Rfam family "tRNA". Rfam says of the family: Transfer RNA (tRNA) molecules are approximately 80 nucleotides in length. Their secondary structure includes four short double-helical elements and three loops (D, anti-codon, and T loops). Further hydrogen bonds mediate the characteristic L-shaped molecular structure. tRNAs have two regions of fundamental functional importance: the anti-codon, which is responsible for specific mRNA codon recognition, and the 3' end, to which the tRNAs corresponding amino acid is attached (by aminoacyl-tRNA synthetases). tRNAs cope with the degeneracy of the genetic code in two manners: having more than one tRNA (with a specific anti-codon) for a particular amino acid; and 'wobble' base-pairing, i.e. permitting non-standard base-pairing at the 3rd anti-codon position. The record is from RNAcentral. Lineage: Bacteria; Candidatus Woeseibacteriota. RNAcentral also lists the same sequence under 3 other names.
GCUCCCGUGGCGAAAUGGCAGACGCGUACGGUUUAGGACCGUAUUCCUUACGGAGUAGAAGUUCGACUCUUCUCGGGAGCA